CACCAUCAUCUGCCAGUCCAGUAAAGGCGCCUCCAAUCCUCCACUCCUACUCUUCUUCCAUUUCUCCUCCUCAGAUCAAAUCGCGCCUGAAUGUGCAGGUUUUGAGACUCAGAGUGUCGGCCUCCCGUUCACGUUGUUGUGUCCGUUCACAUUCUUCGGUCUCCUCUUCAAAGUUUAGAUUCUAUUCCAUUCUAUCGGCCUCCUCUAUUUUCAUCGUCAGCGUUCAGAUUCGUCACUGGGUAGCUUCUUGGCAUUCUAUUUCUUGUUUUCAUCUUCUGGUUCAGAUUCCCUUUUAGAUGUCAUUUUAUUUGUGGGUUACUUUUUAUUUCAAGGUUCACAUCUCCCUUCUAGUUUUGUUGAAAAUAUUUCUAUUGGUACUAAGUGAUUGCCUUUUAGUACUGCCUUGACUAGUGACAUUGCAGAGGAUUAGCACUUCAUUUGGUUGAUUGGAUUCUCUGCAAUUCAUUCUGGGAGAUGGAAAAUGAGGGUUGGAUUAUAAUAAUUUGAGAUACAGUAGCUUCUUUGAUAGAGUUAGCUAGAGGUCUAGUGGCAACCCAAACACAAGUUGUAGAACUAUUCAAGUAAGAAUGGAAGGCCCAGAAAAUCGGAGAUGGAUGUACAAUAGAAUAGAUCCAUGUACUAAAUGGGUUACAAUAGAAUUUGUGCAAGGUGUAGAGGACUUUCUUACUUAUGCAAUGCAAUCACCUUAUUGCCAAAACUUCGUGUACUAAAUGGGUUACAAGAAGAAGAGGAACUUCAAGAUGAUGAAGAAACAGAAGAUGGUGAGGAAGAUUCUCAUAUGGAUGAAGAUGAAGAUGAAGAUGAAGAUGAAGAUGAAGAUGAUGCAUAAAUUAUGGUUGUGACAUUGCAUUUGUUAUUUAGUUUUCAGUUUGAUUGAUUGCAUUAACUUCUUAUUUAUUUUUCAUUUAGAUUAGAUUAUAAUUUUGUUAAUUUCUAAAGAAGAUUUAGUUCUUAUUGAUUUAGUUUUUAUUCAUUUAUUUAAUUUUGAAUAUGCAGAUGGCAAGUCGUCGACUAAAGCGUGGUAGAGGGUAAUGGAGUACUCCAUCACCUGCACAAUUAACCUUAAUGUUCUUAAAUUUAUGACAUUUUAUUGUAUGGGAUUAUUUUUAAAUUCCAAAUUGUUUCUUAUAAAAAAAAUUGAACUAUUUGCAGUUUAAAAACUUUACUUAUUAUCAUGAAA
Long non-coding RNA from Neltuma alba, 1201 nucleotides. RefSeq lists it as uncharacterized. Lineage: Eukaryota; Viridiplantae; Streptophyta; Magnoliopsida; Fabales; Fabaceae. The record is from RefSeq and is a predicted model, not a curated record. The transcript has 3 exons.